Molecule: ribosomal RNA, 467 nt
Filed under: uncultured bacterium
Lineage: Bacteria
Description: partial 16S ribosomal RNA
Rfam family: Bacterial small subunit ribosomal RNA
Source: RNAcentral
GACGAACGCUGGCGGCGUGCUUAACACAUGCAAGUCGAACGGAAAGGCCUCUUUCGGGGGGUACUCGAGUGGCGAACGGGUGAGUAACAUGUGAGUAACCUGCCCUUGACUUUGGGAUAACUUCAGGAAACUGGGGCUAAUACCGGAUAGGAGCUCCUGCUGCAUGGUGGGGGUUGGAAAGUUUCGGCGGUUGGGGAUGGACUCGCGGCUUAUCAGCUUGUUGGUGGGGUAGUGGCUUACCAAGGCUUUGACGGGUAGCCGGCCUGAGAGGGUGACCGGCCACAUUGGGACUGAGAUACGGCCCAGACUCCUACGGGAGGCAGCAGUGGGGAAUAUUGCACAAUGGGUGGAAGCCUGAUGCAGCAACGCCGUGUGCGGGAUGACGGCCUUCGGGUUGUAAACCGCUUUCGCUCAUGACGAAGCUUUGUGUGACGGUAGUGGGUAAAGAAGCACCGGCUAACUACGUG